AAAACUGGAAAAUAAUAUAUAGCAACAAAUAGUAAUAAACAAUUGUGUGAGCCAUUCACCACAAAUUUUCGCACCUUGAUUUCUAAAAUGUUUAUCCUAAAACUAAUAUCCUGCAAUUAUAGGUUAUCUGAGAUUUAACACUAAUUAGUGCGUACAUAGUAAUAAGAUUGUCCGAAGAAAUAUUUGAAAUUUUGAAAAACAUUAUGAAAACUUUCCUAGCUAGCGCUUCUGAAAAACAGAACCAAUCUGUGCAAUCCGAAAUUAUUGCUCAUCAUCAGGUCAUGUUUCUUCAUGUGUACUCAGCCACGGCGAGAAAUACAAUUUUCCUGCCUGCAAAAGGUUCUUAUAUUAGAUUAUUAUUGAGCAACAUUGAAGAUGAAGAUCAGUGAAAAGCUAAAAGCACUUCAGUGUAGCAAUAGAAUAUGCAGGAACCAAGAAUAUAAAAAAAUAGACUCGCUGAAAUUGAAAGUGCUGUAACUGCUAGUGCUAGCGCCUGUGUCAUUGUGGGAUCAACUUGCGGAUCGCGCACAUAGUUCAGGCUCCAUGCAACCAUUUUGAUGACGGUGAAGAUGCAACGGGGAAUACCUUAUUUUGUAGGAUACGGCAUCGUCACUGGAGAGGACAAAGAUAUCGCUGAAGAUCCAUCAGGCGAGGCCGCACCCGCACGCUCAACGCUCCACCAAAGUAGUCCCCGUCAACAGCCAUGACAUGCCGAGG
This 717-nucleotide long non-coding RNA is filed under the name Triticum aestivum (bread wheat). Its description in RNAcentral is "long non-coding RNA (TAES_LNC004642)". The record is from RNAcentral. Lineage: Eukaryota; Viridiplantae; Streptophyta; Magnoliopsida; Poales; Poaceae.